This 53-nucleotide microRNA precursor is filed under the name Myripristis murdjan (pinecone soldierfish). Its description in RNAcentral is "Danio rerio miR-153b stem-loop (ENSMMDG00005006563.1)". It matches the Rfam family "mir-153 microRNA precursor family", at positions 14 to 67 of the family's 73-position model. Lineage: Eukaryota; Metazoa; Chordata; Actinopteri; Holocentriformes; Holocentridae. The record is from RNAcentral.
UUGUGAUUUGCAGCUAGUAGUCUGGGUCCAGUUGCAUAGUCACAAAAAUGAUC